Molecule: ribosomal RNA, 2924 nt
Filed under: Escherichia coli
Lineage: Bacteria; Pseudomonadati; Pseudomonadota; Gammaproteobacteria; Enterobacterales; Enterobacteriaceae
Description: 23S ribosomal RNA
Rfam family: Bacterial large subunit ribosomal RNA
Source: RNAcentral
GGGUUGUGAGGUUAAGCGACUAAGCGUACACGGUGGAUGCCCUGGCAGUCAGAGGCGAUGAAGGACGUGCUAAUCUGCGAUAAGCGUCGGUAAGGUGAUAUGAACCGUUAUAACCGGCGAUUUCCGAAUGGGGAAACCCAGUGUGUUUCGACACACUAUCAUUAACUGAAUCCAUAGGUUAAUGAGGCGAACCGGGGGAACUGAAACAUCUAAGUACCCCGAGGAAAAGAAAUCAACCGAGAUUCCCCCAGUAGCGGCGAGCGAACGGGGAGCAGCCCAGAGCCUGAAUCAGUGUGUGUGUUAGUGGAAGCGUCUGGAAAGGCGCGCGAUACAGGGUGACAGCCCCGUACACAAAAAUGCACAUAUUGUGAGCUCGAUGAGUAGGGCGGGACACGUGGUAUCCUGUCUGAAUAUGGGGGGACCAUCCUCCAAGGCUAAAUACUCCUGACUGACCGAUAGUGAACCAGUACCGUGAGGGAAAGGCGAAAAGAACCCCGGCGAGGGGAGUGAAAAAGAACCUGAAACCGUGUACGUACAAGCAGUGGGAGCCUCUUUAUGGGGUGACUGCGUACCUUUUGUAUAAUGGGUCAGCGACUUAUAUUCUGUAGCAAGGUUAACCGAAUAGGGGAGCCGAAGGGAAACCGAGUCUUAACUGGGCGUUAAGUUGCAGGGUAUAGACCCGAAACCCGGUGAUCUAGCCAUGGGCAGGUUGAAGGUUGGGUAACACUAACUGGAGGACCGAACCGACUAAUGUUGAAAAAUUAGCGGAUGACUUGUGGCUGGGGGUGAAAGGCCAAUCAAACCGGGAGAUAGCUGGUUCUCCCCGAAAGCUAUUUAGGUAGCGCCUCGUGAAUUCAUCUCCGGGGGUAGAGCACUGUUUCGGCAAGGGGGUCAUCCCGACUUACCAACCCGAUGCAAACUGCGAAUACCGGAGAAUGUUAUCACGGGAGACACACGGCGGGUGCUAACGUCCGUCGUGAAGAGGGAAACAACCCAGACCGCCAGCUAAGGUCCCAAAGUCAUGGUUAAGUGGGAAACGAUGUGGGAAGGCCCAGACAGCCAGGAUGUUGGCUUAGAAGCAGCCAUCAUUUAAAGAAAGCGUAAUAGCUCACUGGUCGAGUCGGCCUGCGCGGAAGAUGUAACGGGGCUAAACCAUGCACCGAAGCUGCGGCAGCGACGCUUAUGCGUUGUUGGGUAGGGGAGCGUUCUGUAAGCCUGUGAAGGUGUGCUGUGAGGCAUGCUGGAGGUAUCAGAAGUGCGAAUGCUGACAUAAGUAACGAUAAAGCGGGUGAAAAGCCCGCUCGCCGGAAGACCAAGGGUUCCUGUCCAACGUUAAUCGGGGCAGGGUGAGUCGACCCCUAAGGCGAGGCCGAAAGGCGUAGUCGAUGGGAAACAGGUUAAUAUUCCUGUACUUGGUGUUACUGCGAAGGGGGGACGGAGAAGGCUAUGUUGGCCGGGCGACGGUUGUCCCGGUUUAAGCGUGUAGGCUGGUUUUCCAGGCAAAUCCGGAAAAUCAAGGCUGAGGCGUGAUGACGAGGCACUACGGUGCUGAAGCAACAAAUGCCCUGCUUCCAGGAAAAGCCUCUAAGCAUCAGGUAACAUCAAAUCGUACCCCAAACCGACACAGGUGGUCAGGUAGAGAAUACCAAGGCGCUUGAGAGAACUCGGGUGAAGGAACUAGGCAAAAUGGUGCCGUAACUUCGGGAGAAGGCACGCUGAUAUGUAGGUGAAGCGACUUGCUCGUGGAGCUGAAAUCAGUCGAAGAUACCAGCUGGCUGCAACUGUUUAUUAAAAACACAGCACUGUGCAAACACGAAAGUGGACGUAUACGGUGUGACGCCUGCCCGGUGCCGGAAGGUUAAUUGAUGGGGUCAGCGCAAGCGAAGCUCUUGAUCGAAGCCCCGGUAAACGGCGGCCGUAACUAUAACGGUCCUAAGGUAGCGAAAUUCCUUGUCGGGUAAGUUCCGACCUGCACGAAUGGCGUAAUGAUGGCCAGGCUGUCUCCACCCGAGACUCAGUGAAAUUGAACUCGCUGUGAAGAUGCAGUGUACCCGCGGCAAGACGGAAAGACCCCGUGAACCUUUACUAUAGCUUGACACUGAACAUUGAGCCUUGAUGUGUAGGAUAGGUGGGAGGCUUAGAAGUGUGGACGCCAGUCUGCAUGGAGCCGACCUUGAAAUACCACCCUUUAAUGUUUGAUGUUCUAACGUGGACCCGUAAUCCGGGUUGCGGACAGUGUCUGGUGGGUAGUUUGACUGGGGCGGUCUCCUCCUAAAGAGUAACGGAGGAGCACGAAGGUUGGCUAAUCCUGGUCGGACAUCAGGAGGUUAGUGCAAUGGCAUAAGCCAGCUUGACUGCGAGCGUGACGGCGCGAGCAGGUGCGAAAGCAGGUCAUAGUGAUCCGGUGGUUCUGAAUGGAAGGGCCAUCGCUCAACGGAUAAAAGGUACUCCGGGGAUAACAGGCUGAUACCGCCCAAGAGUUCAUAUCGACGGCGGUGUUUGGCACCUCGAUGUCGGCUCAUCACAUCCUGGGGCUGAAGUAGGUCCCAAGGGUAUGGCUGUUCGCCAUUUAAAGUGGUACGCGAGCUGGGUUUAGAACGUCGUGAGACAGUUCGGUCCCUAUCUGCCGUGGGCGCUGGAGAACUGAGGGGGGCUGCUCCUAGUACGAGAGGACCGGAGUGGACGCAUCACUGGUGUUCGGGUUGUCAUGCCAAUGGCACUGCCCGGUAGCUAAAUGCGGAAGAGAUAAGUGCUGAAAGCAUCUAAGCACGAAACUUGCCCCGAGAUGAGUUCUCCCUGACCCUUUAAGGGUCCUGAAGGAACGUUGAAGACGACGACGUUGAUAGGCCGGGUGUGUAAGCGCAGCGAUGCGUUGAGCUAACCGGUACUAAUGAACCGUGAGGCUUAACCUUACAACGCCGAAG